GACGAACGCUGGCGGCGUGCUUAACACAUGCAAGUCGAACGGAAAGGCCCCUUUGGGGGUACUCGAGUGGCGAACGGGUGGGUAACACGCGAGUAACCUGCCCUUCACUUCGGGAUAACUUCAGGAAACUGGGGCUAAUACCGGCUAGGAAUCCUUGCUGCCUGCUGGGGGGUGGAAAGAUUGGGGGGUUUGGGGAGGAACCGCGGGCUAUUAGCUUGUUGGUUGGGUGGUGGGUUACCAAGGAUUUGUCGGGUGGCCGGCCUGGGAGGGCGACCGGCCAAAUUGGGGAUGGGGAUCGGCCCAGACUCCUACGGGAGGCAGGAGGGGGGAAUAUUGCACCAUGGGGGGAAGCCUGAUGCAGCAACGGCGCGGGCGGGAUGACGGGCUUCGGGUUGGAAACCGGUUUCAGCAGGUGCGAAGCUUGUGGUGACGGUACCUGCAGAAGAAGCACCGGCUAACUACGUG
RNAcentral lists this ribosomal RNA (465 nucleotides) under uncultured bacterium. Its description in RNAcentral is "partial 16S ribosomal RNA". It matches the Rfam family "Bacterial small subunit ribosomal RNA", at positions 28 to 507 of the family's 1533-position model. The record is from RNAcentral.